Molecule: ribosomal RNA, 314 nt
Filed under: uncultured Chloroflexota bacterium
Lineage: Bacteria; Bacillati; Chloroflexota
Description: bacterial SSU rRNA
Rfam family: Bacterial small subunit ribosomal RNA
Source: RNAcentral
GAUGAACGCUGGCGGCGUGCUUAACACAUGCAAGUCGAACGGACCAUAUUCGUAUGGUUAGUGGCAGACGGGUGCGUAACACGUGGGUGACCUGCCCUCAAGUGGGGAACAACUCCGCUAACGCGGAGCUAAUACCGCAUAUGUUCGCUUUUUCAGUAAGGCGAGUAAAGCAGUAAUGCGCUUGGGGAUGGGCCUGCGGCGGAUUAGCUAGUUGGUGGGGUAACGGCCUACCAAGGCGAUGAUCCGUAGGGGGCGUGAGAGCGUGGCCCCCCACACUGGCACUGAGACACGGGCCAGACUCCUACGGGUGGCAG